GACGAACGCUGGCGGCGUGCUUAACACAUGCAAGUCGAACGGAAAGGCCCUGCUUUUGUGGGGUGCUCGAGUGGCGAACGGGUGAGUAACACGUGAGUAACCUGCCCUUGACUUUGGGAUAACUUCAGGAAACUGGGGCUAAUACCGGAUAGGAGCUCCUGCUGCAUGGUGGGGGUUGGAAAGUUUCGGCGGUUGGGGAUGGACUCGCGGCUUAUCAGCUUGUUGGUUGGGUAGUGGCUUACCAAGGCUUUGACGGGUAGCCGGCCUGAGCGGGUGACCGGCCACAUUGGGACUGAGAUACGGCCCAGACUCCUACGGGAGGCAGCAGUGGGGAAUAUUGCACAAUGGGCGGAAGCAUGAUGCAGCAACGCAGCGUGCGGGAUGACGGCAUUCGGGUUGUAUACCGCUUUCGCCUGUGACGAAGCGUGAGUGACGGUAAUGGGUAAAGAAGCACCGGCUAACUACGUG
This 468-nucleotide ribosomal RNA is filed under the name uncultured bacterium. RNAcentral's name for it is "partial 16S ribosomal RNA". It matches the Rfam family "Bacterial small subunit ribosomal RNA", at positions 28 to 507 of the family's 1533-position model. The record is from RNAcentral.